RNAcentral lists this ribosomal RNA (465 nucleotides) under uncultured Klebsiella sp. RNAcentral's name for it is "bacterial SSU rRNA". It matches the Rfam family "Bacterial small subunit ribosomal RNA", at positions 338 to 795 of the family's 1533-position model. The record is from RNAcentral. Lineage: Bacteria; Pseudomonadati; Pseudomonadota; Gammaproteobacteria; Enterobacterales; Enterobacteriaceae.
CCUACGGGUGGCAGCAGUGGGGAAUAUUGCACAAUGGGCGCAAGCCUGAUGCAGCCAUGCCGCGUGUGUGAAGAAGGCCUUCGGGUUGUAAAGCACUUUCAGCGGGGAGGAAGGCGGUGAGGUUAAUAACCUUGUCGAUUGACGUUACCCGCAGAAGAAGCACCGGCUAACUCCGUGCCAGCAGCCGCGGUAAUACGGAGGGUGCAAGCGUUAAUCGGAAUUACUGGGCGUAAAGCGCACGCAGGCGGUCUGUCAAGUCGGAUGUGAAAUCCCCGGGCUCAACCUGGGAACUGCAUUCGAAACUGGCAGGCUAGAGUCUUGUAGAGGGGAGUAGAAUUCCAGGUGUAGCGGUGAAAUGCGUAGAGAUCGGGAGGAAUACCGGUGGCGAAGGCGGCCCCCUGGACAAAGACUGACGCUCAGGUGCGAAAGCGUGGGGAGCGAACAGGAUUAGAUACCCCUGUAGUC